CCGCCCGCCUCCGCCUCCUGCUGCUCUGCCGCCGCCGCCGCCGCCUGCAGCACUCCACUGCCGCUCCCACCCAGGCUCCGCGCUCUGCUCCAGCCAAACUUCUGCAGACCAUGUGCAGCCGAGGCGAGGAAACUUCUCUCCACCUAUUGGGGCUGGAGGCCUGAGUCACAAGCCCCUUGUUUACAUAAAGUGUUUAGGUAGCACAAGUCCUUGAGAUGCUCGGGGUAGAGAUGGAGAGCCACUGCUCGUAUCCUUCUGCCGGCUUCUGCUUGAGAUCUCUUGGCCUUUACCCUUGUCCCUUGACUUUUCGUGUUUGUUUUAAUCUUUAAGACUUGAAAUGGAGUGGCCUUUAGAACCGGGGAGAUACUGUAAACCAGCAGUAUCUUUGUGUCACCAAUGGUAACUGAAAGUCAUGCUGAAGUACAGAUUCCUGUAGCGUGCACAGAGGCAGAGGUGCUUCCUUUACCUUGCAGAUGAGUUGAGCGGCGUAAGAUGUUUCUGUUAGGGUUGAAUUUCAUGGUUAUUUCAGCAACGAUUUUCGUUUUUGAAGUUUUGGCCCCCCCAAAAAUGAAAGUCUGCAACGCAUGUUUGUUAAGAGAACAGUUUAUUCUCCUGUUAGGUUUUGGUCUUUGAGGUAUGGAUUCCAGAGUUGGCUAUUCUGUUAGAUUUAGAGGUGUGGAAAAUCUUUUAACGGGGAGAUCCUGAAACACGGAAACAUGGCAGGGAAGUUAGAAUUUCCUGAUGGUCAUUUUUAACAUUUUAAAGUUUACUUUUUGGUUGUUGCCAUUUUUCUAGAAUCCGUGUCUUUUUUGGGGAAAUACAGUCCUUUGAGGACUAGAAUUUAAUGAUUUCUUUACACAUCUAGGAUUUUUUGAGAUUUAGAAAGGAUAUGGCUUUAUUCCUAAGGAAGUGGAGGCAGCAGUUUCUAGGAUACUCUGGUUUCAAGGCAUGCUAACUUGGUUGUGAUGUCUAACCCAUUUUGGUUUACACAGUCUGACCACUAGCACAAUGCCUGGCACAUAGUUUACAAAUCAUUUAAGGCAAGCUUACCAUCUUAAGACAAUUUAAUACAUAGAAGUGUCCCUCCUAAAAAUCUGAGUUUGAUUUAGAAAUCCAGUUAUACCUGCAGGUACUGAUGACUAAUUCCUUCUUUGAAGACAAAAUAAGCAGCUGUGUAGCUUCAGUGGCUCUCAAAUGGAUAAUAGAUUCAGUGUAUACUCGCUUUGAACUUUCCUGUUUUUUGAUCAGCUAGAUAAAUGACUUUAGUGGGUAAAUGUCUGCCUCCAAAACCAAAUUCUGACCCUGAUCUAAGUAUUCUACUGCACCGCUGUCACUGGAAUAUCAAAGUUGGCCUUCAGACUGGUGCCUGGUUCCUUGGAUUGGCUUGAGUAUUGAGGUCUGUCUCAUCUUACUAGGGAACUAAAAUGAUGUUGAUUGUUUUGUAGAGAAUUGUAAUUAGAGAUCUGUAGGUUCUUAAUUCUUUUGGAAUUCCAUUCUGAAAAUUUUCAACCUUAUGGUGUUGGUGGAGUGCUCAUGUGAAGAGUGAAACUGACUUAAGAAUAAAAGAAAAAGUGGGCAAAACUAAUGCUAAACUUGAGACCAUUGGGCAGAAAUUUGCCUGUGUGUGUAGAGUAAUUGGUCUUGAGUCAAAGUAACUAUGCUUAUUUUUAACAUCACUGAAUAUUUUCUAGCGUUACACUCUAUAUAGGCUUGUAGAAAUAAACCCAGGGGUAAGCCCAGAAAUUGAAUAUCAGUCCUAAAGAAAGCCUAUCAAGAGCAUCCUAUUCUCUUUAAGAGCUGCUAUUCGAAUUUAGGACUGGGCUGGUUUGCUGCUCAUUCUCUCGAGGCAUAGGCAGCCACACUUGAAUUUUGCCAAGUAUGCAGAUAAUUCCAACUUGUAGUCAGGAUCAUCAGGUAAUAGCAUUAUAAGGGGAGCUGUACAGACUGUAUACUUUCUACAGUUUGUUGAAAUAGAAACAUUUAUAUGGAUACAUACAUCUGCAAAGGUUAGGGAGAAAACGGUAGCCCUGGCAGAGAAGAGCUAGUUAGUGUAUUUCAGGAUAGGGCCAAGGGAAGCUGUCAUUUCUCUACUAAGUCUCAUUGUGGAAAAGCCACAAAUGUCCCUAGUACAGUAAUAAGGAAAAAAAGGCUGAGCGUGGUGGCUCACACCUGUAGUCCCAGGACUUUCGGAAGGAUUGCUUGAGCCCAGGAGUUGCAGAUCGGCCAGGACAAUGUAAGAAAACCCCAUGUAUUAGAAAAAAAGAAUUAGCCAGGCGUGAUGGUGUGGGUCUAUAGUCUCAGCUUGGGAGGCUGAGGUGGCAGGAUCGCAUAUAGCCCAGGAGUUCGAGGCUGCAGUGAGCCAUGAUCGCAUCACUGCACCCUAGUCUGGGCAACAGAGUCUCUAAAAAGGAAAAAAAAAAAAAAAGUUAAAUCGCUGUUUAAUUAUGUGCCAAUUUAUUUUGGUAUUUUGAGAAUCUGGUAAAUUAGGAAUUCAAAAAUAGUUUUAACACUUUUUACUUCAAAGAAAAUCACAGUGCAAGCAAUCUGAGUGGAUUCAUCAAAAGUUAUACAUGAAUAUUCUGCAGAGUCUGGUGUUGCUGAAAGUUUUGAUUUGUGUUCUGCUGAGACACAACCAUGAAAAUAUGCACUUGCUUGUAUUCCGAAGAGGAUAGUUCCAGUGAGACUUGGACAAUGAGCAGAAAAAAUUUUUUUUUGAGACGAGGUGUCGCUGUGUCGCCCAGGCUGGAGUGCAGCGGCGCGAUAUCUGCUCACUGCAACCUCUGCCUCCUGGGUUCAAGCGAUUCUCAUGCCUCAGCCUCCCAAGUAGCUGGGACUACAGGUGCCCGCCACCACACCCG
RNAcentral lists this long non-coding RNA (2858 nucleotides) under Homo sapiens (human). RNAcentral describes it as "LHRI_LNC1227.1". The record is from RNAcentral. Lineage: Eukaryota; Metazoa; Chordata; Mammalia; Primates; Hominidae.